This is a non-coding RNA of Peromyscus maniculatus bairdii (prairie deer mouse), 918 nucleotides long. The record is from RefSeq and is a predicted model, not a curated record. NCBI's taxonomy places the organism in Eukaryota, Metazoa, Chordata, Mammalia, Rodentia, Cricetidae.
UAGGCCUCAAAUCUCUAAAGCCAAUGGACUACGCACUCAAACUUCCCAGACUAUGCAUUGUGCUUCGCUGCCUCAAGCUCCUGCUACUCUGACUCCUCCAUAAAAAUGAAAUUGUGACCUUGAACUGAGCUGCAAGAAACCCCAUUUCCCUAAGUUGCUUUUGCAGAGUAUUUUAACCACAGGGACAAAAGAGAGACCAAGACGGAUGCAAUAGUAAAUGAAUUCAGCCAGCAUUUCCCAGGUACAAAACUGGACAAUCCUGGACCUAAGUGGAACAUUUAUCGCCAUUUCUUUUGAACGGGAGCUGUAAGGUGUCCAGUUCUCAAGUAUGAAAAGGAUAUUGUCAGACCUACCGCUUGAGAACCGUAUGUACUCCACAUACAAGAGUUACAGUCUGGAAUCUGGUUCAUGUGUGAGCUCUAGGCUGUGAAGUCCAGGACAGUCUACUGGAUCUGAACUGCUGAGAACCUUCUGGAAGGAAGAGAAGCUGAAGCUCAGACAACCAAGGGAAAAGCAUCUGGAGUGUGGAUGACAUUCUCUCCUGAGAAUGACUGGAAGCAUCUGUGUUAGAUGGAGGGAUGGUGUCGUGGGGCAUGCAUACACGCACGCAUGCACACACACAUACACACACACUACAGUCAGUUGGAGAGAUGGUGUGGUAGGGUGUGAGUGUGUGUACCACAAACAGGCAGCAAAGCAAGACAGCAUCAUCUCCAGUGUGUUCUCAGGCUUUUGGAGACAGCAGCAUAACUGACUGUCUGGCUUUAGCAGCUAACUCCCCCCAAAAGAAAAGACAGUAUUAGGACCACAAGGAGUUGUGUUUUUUAAUUGAUACUCAAUCUCUACAUACAAUAUUGCACAAAUUAAAGAUGUAUCAACAAUUCUAUUUAUGAUACAAACUCAUCAACAAUCAUAAAA